Molecule: ribosomal RNA, 466 nt
Filed under: uncultured Acidimicrobiales bacterium
Lineage: Bacteria; Bacillati; Actinomycetota; Acidimicrobiia; Acidimicrobiales
Description: bacterial SSU rRNA
Rfam family: Bacterial small subunit ribosomal RNA
Source: RNAcentral
GACGAACGCUGGCGGCGUGCCUCAUACAUGCAAGUCGAACGCGGUCCGUGGUGCUUGCACCACAUAUGACCGAGUGGCGAACGGGUGAGUAACACGUGAGAAACCUGCCCCGAAGAUCGGGAUAACCACCGGAAACGGUGGCUAAUACCGAAUACCCCUGACCAGUCGCAUGGCCGGUCACGGAAAUGCUCCGGUGCUUCGGGAGGGUCUCGCGACCUAUCAGCUAGUUGGUGGGGUAAUGGCCUACCAAGGCAUCGACGGGUAGCUGGUCUGAGAGGACGAUCAGCCACACUGGGACUGAGACACGGCCCAGACUCCUACGGGAGGCAGCAGUAGGGAAUCUUGCGCAAUGGGCGAAAGCCUGACGCAGCAACGCCGCGUGGGGGAUGAAGGCUCUAGGGUUGUAAACCCCUUUCAGCAGGGACGAAAAUGACGGUACCUGCAGAAGAAGCCCCGGCCAACUACG